UAGACUGAGAAACUGGCUGGGUUUAGUGCUGGUUGUUUUUGCUCUUCACAGGAGUGGGGCGGGGCCGGCGGAAAUCCCAAGUACGCAAGCCUGCGGAAAGCGCUUGCAACUGCUGACCAGAAGGCUGACAGAAGACACCGCAGGCCAAGGGGCAACCCACAGGAAUGGGUUCCAACUCUGCAAACUCACAGCCACCGCUCUCCCCUGCUCUCACUGCUGUUCCUUGGGUAGUGCCAGCCAUCUGGUUCCUUGGGUAGUGCCAGCCAUCUGCAGCAACUCCCGCGGUAAAUCUUGAAACUCUGGUGUGUAUUUUACAUUUGUAAAUUUGCAGAUUAGCCACAUUACAAGUGCUCAAUGACCACAUAUGACUGACAACUUUCAUAUGGAACAGCAUGGCUUUAGAAAAGAUCUGGAAAGCUGAUGGACAAAGUUAAAGAUGCAAAGCAGAUUGUCAAGUGCAAAUGGAGCUGGAGAGAGAGGCUCAAACAGCAAGAUGCAUUCAAAGGAGAGUGAAAGGAGUGGUUGGGACAGGUGUAUGGGUCAGGGACUGACAAUCGAUUUUUCUUUCACUUCCUCAUUCUACUUUGCCAGAAUAGAGUUCUGUCUGCUUGUUGUAAGCCCCAACUGGGAGUGAUUAAACCUGCUUUUUCCUGACUCACCAAGGAAA
This is a long non-coding RNA of Bubalus bubalis (water buffalo), 667 nucleotides long. RefSeq lists it as uncharacterized. The record is from RefSeq and is a predicted model, not a curated record. The transcript is spliced from 3 exons. NCBI's taxonomy places the organism in Eukaryota, Metazoa, Chordata, Mammalia, Artiodactyla, Bovidae.